This 464-nucleotide ribosomal RNA is filed under the name uncultured bacterium. RNAcentral describes it as "partial 16S ribosomal RNA". It matches the Rfam family "Bacterial small subunit ribosomal RNA", at positions 338 to 795 of the family's 1533-position model. The record is from RNAcentral.
CCUACGGGGGGCAGCAGUAGGGAAUUUUCGUCAAUGGGCGCAAGCCGGAACGAGCAAUGCCGCGUGAACGAGGAAGGUCUUCGGAUCGUAAAGUUCUGUUGAAGGGGAAAAAGAGCGGAGAGAGGAAAUGGUCUCCGAUUGAUAUUACCCUUCGAGGAAGUCACGGCUAACUACGUGCCAGCAGCCGCGGUAAUACGUAGGUGGCGAGCGUUAUCCGGAAUGAUUGGGCGAAAAGGGUGCGUAGGCGGCCUGCUAAGUCUGGAGUGAAAGGUACCGGCUCAACCGGUACAGGCUCUGGAAACUGGCGGGCUAGAGAGCAGGAGAGGGCGGUGGAACUCCAUGUGUAGCGGUAAAAUGCGUAGAUAUAUGGAAGAACACCAGUGGCGAAGGCGGCCGCCUGGCCUGUUACUGACGCUGAGGCACGAAAGCGUGGGGAGCAAAUAGGAUUAGAUACCCGUGUAGUC